AUGAAUUAUGAAUUGUGAAUUUCGAAUUUUUCAGUUCUGAUUUUCAUUUUUUUGUGUGUGCAGGAUUUGGCUUGGUUGAGUUGAUCUACGAAUUUUGAAUCAUCGAGUUUGAAAACACGUUUCCGCGUUCUCUGAAGAUGAAGCGGUCACGUGACGACGUUUUCAUGAGUUCAUCUCAACUCAAACGACCUAUGCUGAAUAACUCUUAAGGAGAAGCGGUUAGAAGUUCCAUGUUACCUGUAUAAGAGUGAAUUAAACCUCAAUCUGAUUCUAUUAAAGAAUGAUUUAGAUACUUUCUAGAAGUUGGAUUUCAUGUUCUUUUUCCUUUCAUCGUUGCACCCUCUUGGCGCUGUUUGGGUUCAUGUUUGGGUAGUAUAUCCAAUUUCAAUGGUAUGUAAUUUUAUUACUUUGGAAAUAAUUUUAGUAUUUGCUUAAUAUGUAUAUGAUAGCACUCAAGGUGAUUCCUCUCGAUUAUGUGAUCCUAUAUGCGACUUUUUUUUAUUCAAUUGUGACUGUUCGUUAAUCUCUUUCCUUGCUUUGAGUUCCGGUUCUUUUAUUUAUUUUGUACAGUAUGUGAUUCCUUUCAGAAAAUACUCUUGAAUAAUCUAAACUUGAAAGUUUUGGUUUCCUUCUUAGGUAGAAAUACCUUCCAAUAAUGAGACAAAUGUGGAGGUUUGAGAGGUCACUCAACAAAUGAGCACAUGC
Medicago truncatula (barrel medic) is the source of this 705-nucleotide long non-coding RNA. RefSeq lists it as uncharacterized. The transcript has 3 exons. The record is from RefSeq and is a predicted model, not a curated record. Lineage: Eukaryota; Viridiplantae; Streptophyta; Magnoliopsida; Fabales; Fabaceae.